This 72-nucleotide transfer RNA is filed under the name Candidatus Portnoyibacteriota bacterium. Its description in RNAcentral is "Candidatus Portnoybacteria bacterium tRNA-Val". It matches the Rfam family "tRNA". From Rfam's summary of the family: Transfer RNA (tRNA) molecules are approximately 80 nucleotides in length. Their secondary structure includes four short double-helical elements and three loops (D, anti-codon, and T loops). The record is from RNAcentral. Lineage: Bacteria; Candidatus Portnoyibacteriota.
GGGUGCAUAGCUCAGCGGCAGAGCGUUCCGUUCACAUCGGAAAGGUCGAAGGUUCAAAUCCUUCUGCACCCA